This 255-nucleotide ribosomal RNA is filed under the name uncultured bacterium. RNAcentral's name for it is "partial 16S ribosomal RNA". It matches the Rfam family "Bacterial small subunit ribosomal RNA", at positions 523 to 776 of the family's 1533-position model. The record is from RNAcentral.
UGACGAAGGGUGCAAACGUUGCUCGGAAUUAUUGGGCGUAAAGCGCACGUAGGCGGCAUUGCAAGUCCCAUGUGAAAGCCCACGGCUUAACCGUGGAAGUGCAUGGGAAACUGCAGUGCUUGAGUACUUAAGAGGAUCGCGGAAUUCCCGGUGUAGAGGUGAAAUUCGUAGAUAUACGGGAGGAACACCAGUGGCGAAGGCGGCGAUCUGGGAAGAUACUGACGCUGAGGUGCGAAAGCGUGGGGAGCAAACAGG